CCUACGGGAGGCAGCAGUGAGGAAUAUUGGUCAAUGGACGAGAGUCUGAACCAGCCAAGUAGCGUGAAGGAUGACUGCCCUAUGGGUUGUAAACUUCUUUUAUAUGGGAAUAAAAUGUUCCACGUGUGGGAUUUUGUAUGUACCAUAUGAAUAAGGAUCGGCUAACUCCGUGCCAGCAGCCGCGGUAAUACGGAGGAUCCGAGCGUUAUCCGGAUUUAUUGGGUUUAAAGGGAGCGUAGGUGGGUUGUUAAGUCAGUUGUGAAAGUUUGCGGCUCAACCGUAAAAUUGCAGUUGAUACUGGCAGUCUUGAGUACAGUAGAGGUGGGCGGAAUUCGUGGUGUAGCGGUGAAAUGCUUAGAUAUCACGAAGAACUCCGAUUGCGAAGGCAGUUCACUGGACUGCAACUGACACUGAGGCUCGAAAGUGUGGGUAUCAAACAGGAUUAGAUACCCUAGUAGUC
This 460-nucleotide ribosomal RNA is filed under the name uncultured bacterium. RNAcentral's name for it is "partial 16S ribosomal RNA". It matches the Rfam family "Bacterial small subunit ribosomal RNA", at positions 338 to 795 of the family's 1533-position model. The record is from RNAcentral.